GCCUUCGUGGUAUAGUGGUCAGCACGCUCGACGUAUUCGAGAGGCCCAUGGUUCGAGUCCCGGUGAAGGCA
Stegodyphus mimosarum is the source of this 71-nucleotide non-coding RNA. Lineage: Eukaryota; Metazoa; Arthropoda; Arachnida; Araneae; Eresidae. The record is from Rfam.